CGGGGAUGUCGCAGCCUCCCCGUAAAGUGGUGAUCCCACGCAAGCGCUGC
Non-coding RNA from Bradyrhizobium yuanmingense, 50 nucleotides. The record is from Rfam. NCBI's taxonomy places the organism in Bacteria, Pseudomonadati, Pseudomonadota, Alphaproteobacteria, Hyphomicrobiales, Nitrobacteraceae.